RNAcentral lists this ribosomal RNA (247 nucleotides) under uncultured bacterium. RNAcentral describes it as "partial 16S ribosomal RNA". It matches the Rfam family "Bacterial small subunit ribosomal RNA", at positions 523 to 769 of the family's 1533-position model. The record is from RNAcentral.
AUACGUAGGUGGCAAGCGUUGUCCGGAUUUACUGGGUGUAAAGGGCGAGUAGGCGGGACUGCAAGUCAGGUGUGAAAUGCGGAGGCUCAACCUCCGACUUGCAUUUGAAACUGUGGUUCUUGAGUGAUGGAGAGGCAGGCGGAAUUCCCGGUGUAGCGGUGGAAUGCGUAGAUAUCGGGAGGAACACCAGUGGCGAAGGCGGCUUACUGGUCCAUUACUGACGCUGAGGUGCGAAAGCGUGGGGAGC